This 468-nucleotide ribosomal RNA is filed under the name uncultured bacterium. RNAcentral's name for it is "partial 16S ribosomal RNA". It matches the Rfam family "Bacterial small subunit ribosomal RNA", at positions 28 to 507 of the family's 1533-position model. The record is from RNAcentral.
GACGAACGCUGGCGGCGUGCUUAACACAUGCAAGUCGAACGGAAAGGCCCUGCUUUUGUGGGGUGCUCGAGUGGCGAACGGGUGAGUAACACGUGAGUAACCUGCCCUUGUCUUUGGGAUAACUUCAGGAAACUGGGGCUAAUACCGUAUAGGAUCUCCUGCUGCAUGGUGGGGGUUGGAAAGUUUCGGCGGGUGGGGAUGGACGCGCGGCUUAUCAGCUUGUUGGUGGGGUAGUGGCUUACCAAGGCUUUGACGGGUAGCCGGCCUGAGAGGGUGAACGGGCACAUUGGGACUGAGAUACGGCCCAGACGGCUACGGGAGGCAGCGGUGGGGAAUAUUGCACAAUGGGCGGAAGCCUGAUGCAGAGACGCCGCGUGCGGGAUGACGGCCUUCGGGUUGUAAACCGCUUUCGCCUGUGACGAAGCGUGAGUGACGGUAAUGGGUAAAGAAGCACCGGCUAACUACGUG